UUUAAGCAAAAGCCAAAUAAGCGGCGCCUAGCUGUUAAUUAGGAGAUUGUAGAACUAACUACUUGUUUAGAU
Molecule: transfer RNA, 72 nt
Filed under: Neverita didyma
Lineage: Eukaryota; Metazoa; Mollusca; Gastropoda; Littorinimorpha; Naticidae
Description: tRNA-Asn
Source: RNAcentral